Molecule: long non-coding RNA, 566 nt
Filed under: Androctonus crassicauda
Lineage: Eukaryota; Metazoa; Arthropoda; Arachnida; Scorpiones; Buthidae
Source: RNAcentral
GUUGAAUAAGUCAUCAUCUAGGAAAAAUUUGGAAACAUGUGCUGACAGGGAAUUAAUGCCUCCUCCUCCUUUACUACCUUUAGUGAAAGAUCCUUCAGCUGAAAAUACACAGAAUGAUGACGAUUUAUUGGAACCACCUAAAAAAAGACUUGCUGGAGCAUUAGGAGGCCUUGUUGCUUACGGCUCAGAAGAUUCCGACGAUGAAAAUAACUCAAUUGGAAGUCCCCUUCCCAUGAAACGGAAAUCGAAUGAUUUGCCAAAAGUAUCAAGGAAGAAUUUUAGUACUCAUAAUAAUAAAUAUAUUAUGUAGAUAAAAAAAAAAUGUACAAAAGUUAAUUCACUUCAGAAACUUCCUUUGAAUUGUUUCCUCUGUAGAGACAUUUAAAAAUUGUUCUGUGGCAUAAAAAUGUUUUUAGUCAAUGACACUUUUUACUUCUCAGGAAAGUAUUUUUUAGCACAUUAUAAUUAUGCUAAUUAAUUACAGGUUACUUAUGCCAUAUUAAUGAAAUGACCACAGGUAAUUUUGAGGUCGUUUAAUUUAAAAUUUUUUCUCUUUUCCAUCUCUA